Long non-coding RNA from Sinocyclocheilus rhinocerous, 151 nucleotides. RefSeq lists it as uncharacterized. The transcript is spliced from 2 exons. NCBI's taxonomy places the organism in Eukaryota, Metazoa, Chordata, Actinopteri, Cypriniformes, Cyprinidae. The record is from RefSeq and is a predicted model, not a curated record.
GCUACCUCGCUUCCGGGUUUUCGACAUCAUAGUUUCACCACUCACUGUCAUUACAGGAAACAAUCUCAGUGAUAAUUGAAGCAUGGAAUGCAGAGUCCUCCAAUGAUCAGCCAACAGAGAAUCUGAACAAUAUGAUUGGCCACUUCGCCAC